GAAAGCAUAAGCUAAGUGGUAUAGCGUGGGAUUGCAGAUCCUAAGGUCACGUGUUCGAACCACGUUGCGACCU
Rickenella mellea is the source of this 73-nucleotide non-coding RNA. NCBI's taxonomy places the organism in Eukaryota, Fungi, Basidiomycota, Agaricomycetes, Hymenochaetales, Rickenellaceae. The record is from the annotation of a GenBank genome assembly.